RNAcentral lists this ribosomal RNA (425 nucleotides) under uncultured bacterium. RNAcentral describes it as "partial 16S ribosomal RNA". It matches the Rfam family "Bacterial small subunit ribosomal RNA", at positions 354 to 796 of the family's 1533-position model. The record is from RNAcentral.
GUGGGGAAUAUUGGACAAUGGGCGAAAGCCUGAUCCAGCAAUGCCGCGUGAGUGAUGAAGGCCUUAGGGUUGUAAAGCUCUUUUACCAGGGAUGAUAAUGACAGUACCUGGAGAAUAAGCUCCGGCUAACUCCGUGCCAGCAGCCGCGGUAAUACGGAGGGAGCUAGCGUUGUUCGGAAUUACUGGGCGUAAAGCGCGCGUAGGCGGUUUAUCAAGUCAGGGGUGAAAUCCCGGGGCUCAACCCCGGAACUGCCCUUGAAACUGGUUCACUAGAAUCCUGGAGAGGCGAGUGGAAUUCCGAGUGUAGAGGUGAAAUUCGUAGAUAUUCGGAAGAACACCAGUGGCGAAGGCGACUCGCUGGACAGGUAUUGACGCUGAGGUGCGAAAGCGUGGGGAGCAAACAGGAUUAGAAACCCUAGUAGUCC